Rhineura floridana is the source of this 127-nucleotide small nucleolar RNA. RefSeq annotates it as U8 small nucleolar RNA. NCBI's taxonomy places the organism in Eukaryota, Metazoa, Chordata, Lepidosauria, Squamata, Rhineuridae. The transcript has a single exon. The record is from RefSeq and is a predicted model, not a curated record.
UCAUCAGUAAGGUAUAUUCUUACUGUUCCUCCUCUGGGAGAACAGAAUAUGAUGAAUAGAGAGUGUGUGAGACAUGAUUAGAGUCUCCUCUGGCCAGGGAACAACACUCCAGUCUGUUCCUAUUAAA